AGUGAACGCUGGCGGUAGGCCUAACACAUGCAAGUCGAACGGCAGCACAGUAAGAGCUUGCUCUUACGGGUGGCGAGUGGCGGAUGGGUGAGGAAUACAUCGGCCUCUACUCUUUCGUGGGGGUUAGCGUCGGGAAACUUAAGCUAAUACCGCAUACGACCUACGGGUGAAAGCAGGGGAUCUUCGGCGCUUGUGCGUUUGAAUGAGCCGAUGUCGGAUUAGCUAGUUGGCGGGGUAAAGGCCCGCCACGGCGGCGAUCCGUAGCUGGACGGGGAGGAUGGUCGCCCGCACUGGAACUGGGACACCGACCAGACUCCUACGGGAGGCAGCAGACGGGAAUGUGGGGCAAUGGGCGCAAACCUUGUCCAACCAUCCCGCGUGGGUGGAAGAGGCCUUCGGUUUGUAAAGCCCUUUUGUUGGUUGAAAAAAGCAGCAAGUUGAUACCCCGCUGUUCUGACGGUACCCAAAGAAUAAGCACCGGCUAACUUCGUG
RNAcentral lists this ribosomal RNA (492 nucleotides) under uncultured bacterium. Its description in RNAcentral is "partial 16S ribosomal RNA". It matches the Rfam family "Bacterial small subunit ribosomal RNA", at positions 29 to 507 of the family's 1533-position model. The record is from RNAcentral.